Molecule: unclassified non-coding RNA, 256 nt
Filed under: Ascomycota sp.
Lineage: Eukaryota; Fungi; Ascomycota
Description: partial contains small subunit ribosomal RNA, internal transcribed spacer 1, and 5.8S ribosomal RNA
Rfam family: Eukaryotic small subunit ribosomal RNA (bases 1-47)
Source: RNAcentral
AAAGUCGUAACAAGGUUUCCGUAGGUGAACCUGCGGAAGGAUCAUUAAAAGUUAAUUGGUUAUACUCCGGUAUAAAUCUAAUUAAACACCUCUGAGUACCUUACCUGUUGCUUCCGUGAGGCCUGACUCCAGCAGUGGUUCGCCGCCGCUGGAUACUUGCGGAAGGUAUACACUUAAACACUUUGAAUCUAUGUCAUCUGUCUGAUAAUGUUUAUAACAAACGUUAAAACUUUCAACAACGGAUCUCUUGGUUCUC